This 468-nucleotide ribosomal RNA is filed under the name uncultured bacterium. RNAcentral describes it as "partial 16S ribosomal RNA". It matches the Rfam family "Bacterial small subunit ribosomal RNA", at positions 28 to 507 of the family's 1533-position model. The record is from RNAcentral.
GACGAACGCUGGCGGCGUGCUUAACACAUGCAAGUCGAACGGAAAGGCCCUGCUUUUGUGGGGUGCUCGAGUGGCGAACGGGUGAGUAACACGUGUGUAACCUGCCCUUGAAUUUGGGAUAACUUCAGGAAACUGGGGCUAAUACCGGAUAGGAGCUCCUGAUGCAUGGUGGGGGUUGGAAAGUUUCGGCGGUUGGGGAUGGUCUCGCGGCUUAUCAGCUUGUUGGUGAGGUAGUGGCUUACCAAGGCUAUGACGGGUAGCCGGCCUGAGAGGGGGACCGGCCACAAUGGGACUGAGAUACGGACCAGACUCCUACGGGAGGCAGUAGUGGGGAAUAUUGCACAAUGGGCGGAAGCCUGAUGCAGCAACGCCGCGUGCGGGAUGACGGCCUUCGGGUUGUAAACCGCUUUCGCCGGUGACGAAGCGUGAGUGACGGUAAUGGGUAAAGAAGCACCGGCUAACUACGUG